UACGUAGGGUGCAAGCGUUAAUCGGAAUUACUGGGCGUAAAGCGUGCGCAGGCGGUUCGCUAAGACCGAUGUGAAAUCCCCGGGCUUAACCUGGGAACUGCAUUGGUGACUGGCGGGCUAGAGUAUGGCAGAGGGGAGUAGAAUUCCACGUGUAGCAGUGAAAUGCGUAGAGAUGUGGAGGAAUACCGAUGGCGAAGGCAGCCCCCUGGGCCAAUACUGACGCUCAUGCACGAAAGCGUGGGGAGCAAACAGG
This 253-nucleotide ribosomal RNA is filed under the name uncultured bacterium. RNAcentral describes it as "partial 16S ribosomal RNA". It matches the Rfam family "Bacterial small subunit ribosomal RNA", at positions 524 to 776 of the family's 1533-position model. The record is from RNAcentral.